This 253-nucleotide ribosomal RNA is filed under the name uncultured bacterium. Its description in RNAcentral is "partial 16S ribosomal RNA". It matches the Rfam family "Bacterial small subunit ribosomal RNA", at positions 524 to 776 of the family's 1533-position model. The record is from RNAcentral.
UACGGAGGAUGCAAGCGUUAUCCGGAAUGAUUGGGCGUAAAGCGUCCGUAGGUGGCACUUCAAGUCUGCUGUUAAAUACUAGGGCUUAACCCUGGAGCUGCAGUGGAAACUGAAGAGCUAGAGUUCGGGAGGGGUAGAGGGAAUUCCCGGUGUAGCGGUGAAAUGCGUAGAGAUUGGGAAGAACACCGAUGGCGAAAGCGCUCUGCUAGGCCGAAACUGACACUCAUGGACGAAAGCUAGGGGAGCGAAUGGG